CGGUCCGAACCGAAUAUCAAUAGUACUGAAAAUUGGAUACCGAUACCGGUACCGUUUGAACUGGUAUACCGGACCGAUUAGCCGGUCUGGUACCAGAUCGGUUACGAUUUUUACCGGCUUAUACUGGAUUUUCAACCCAAACUAUUUUCAGCCCCAAAACAGAAAUUUUAGCCUAAAAACUUUCAGCCCAACCGAAUUUUUAGCCCAAAAACUCAGCCCAAACUUAAAUACUGACUUGCUUGAAUUAUGAGGCUUAGUAAGAUAGACCCAUAUGCCUUACUUUCAGCCUAAACUUAAAUAUUGACUUACUUGAAUUGGCCCAAUUGGUAAUUAUUGUUACAUGGUAAUCGAUUUAUAAGGGAAAAUCUAAUUAAAGUUUUACCAAUUUAACCAAUAUAAGACUUGGAGACAAGUAAAUAGUAAAUGUUUCACUUGGUAGUGUUUUUAUAAAGAAAACUUUCUUAAAUUUUUAUAAUCUAAUCAAUGUGGG
This 490-nucleotide long non-coding RNA is filed under the name Panax ginseng (ginseng). RNAcentral describes it as "long non-coding RNA (PGIN_LNC007713)". The record is from RNAcentral. Lineage: Eukaryota; Viridiplantae; Streptophyta; Magnoliopsida; Apiales; Araliaceae.